Molecule: long non-coding RNA, 546 nt
Filed under: Gallus gallus (chicken)
Lineage: Eukaryota; Metazoa; Chordata; Aves; Galliformes; Phasianidae
Description: lncRNA (ENSGALG00010028949.1)
Source: RNAcentral
ACUGCAGCUCCUCUGGCAGCUUUGCAGCUCAGUAGGGAAGCAGAAGAUGUGGAUGUGAAAGAAGAAGUCCGUUGCUGGGACGUUCCCCUGUUCUUCCCCCAGCUGUCCCCUUGCCUCAGCCUGGAUUCCCCUUGCAUUCCUGUAGGAUUCCCUUCCAUCCCCCUGGCUGCCCCUUGCUUUCCACAUGGCUGCCCUUUCCUUUCUCAUGACAGCCCACCCAUCAUUCCCUCAGAGCCCCAAUGUCCCCCCCAGUGUUUCCCAGCAAGACCCCUUGAGACACCCUAUAGCCCCCCACAGAGCCCUGGAGCCCCUCGAGGACCCCCUCAGACCCAGUACACCUCCCCCGUAGCUGGCCCAUACCCACAUGGAGCCCCACAGUCCCCAGCAGCACCCCAUGUGCCCCACUGGGCUUCCCCGGAAUCCUCCUAUUUCCUCCCUCAGACCUCCUUUACACCUCCAAGAUCCCCCCUGGGAACUCGCUGACCCCCAUGUUCUUUGACAGUACCUCCAUCACCAUCCAGUGAACCCCAUAGCCCACCUUUGGCC